UUUCCAAUAAAUUCUCCUUAUCCGUUGCAUGGUCAUUGUUGCCAAUCCAUGGAGGACGGAUAGUAGAAGCAGUGUUAGACUCAUUUUUUUCGGGUUGGUCAUUAUCCAACAAGGUAUCCAAAUCAACAAGUUCGUUUUCGUCAAUGCUGCUACCAACACUUCCCUCGUUUUCCAACUUAUCAGAAUUUACAGAAUCAUCAGAAUCGUCUUCUUCAUUUAAUGAUAUUUCCUUCGUAUUAUUUAAAUUUUUAUGAUCCUUAUUACUCUUGCCACUCUAAAAAUGUGUUAGUUGAACGAGCAAAAUCAUUGAAAAUAUUUACCUUGGAAGCAUUGAAGGACCAAUCUGCAAAUCUUUUUUCAUCUUCUUCAUCAAAGGCUUCAUCACUAUCAAUUUCUUCAUCAUCUUCUGAGUUUACGCCAAAACUGUAGCCUUGUUCAUCGUUGUCUUCUAGUUCUUCAGAAUCAAAACCAGCGGACUCUUCUUCAUAAGAAUGUAAAAUCUUAUUUUCUAAUUGUUUUUUUCCUUUUCUUUGAUGUUUUCCCUGCGGUUGUGGCAAUGUAUUAACUUUUCCUUUCCUAGCCAUGAUGCUGGCUUAUGGUAAAAAUUCUUCCUCACUUCGAAGUAGGGACUAAAAUACCUUACACCAGUUUAAACUGAAUAAAUAAUUUCAACUAGUUUCAAAAGUAAAAAAAAUGAAUCAAAUUUUUAGUAAUCUGAUUCUUUUUCAUUGUUCGUCGAUUUAUGUUGCAGUCAUACUAAUAGUCAUAUACAUUACGCCUUCUAACAUAUGGAUAACUUCUUACAAUAUUUCCAAUAUUAAACUCAAGGUUUUGAAAUUAUUAAGCUAAGCAU
This is a non-coding RNA of Schizosaccharomyces pombe (fission yeast), 853 nucleotides long. NCBI's taxonomy places the organism in Eukaryota, Fungi, Ascomycota, Schizosaccharomycetes, Schizosaccharomycetales, Schizosaccharomycetaceae. The record is from the annotation of a GenBank genome assembly.